UCUAGAAUGGCAGAUAGAUGUAUAGGAUUUAAGCUCCUACUAGGAAAAUUUUUUUUCUUCUAGAA
Molecule: transfer RNA, 65 nt
Filed under: Grapsus albolineatus
Lineage: Eukaryota; Metazoa; Arthropoda; Malacostraca; Decapoda; Grapsidae
Description: tRNA-Leu
Source: RNAcentral